RNAcentral lists this long non-coding RNA (1121 nucleotides) under Nicotiana benthamiana. Its description in RNAcentral is "long non-coding RNA (NBEN_LNC009625)". Lineage: Eukaryota; Viridiplantae; Streptophyta; Magnoliopsida; Solanales; Solanaceae. The record is from RNAcentral.
GAUCAAGUGUUGAAAAGCAGAACAAAGGAUACGGUACAAAAUUAAGGAAAAUUUGAACUGUUUACUAAUUGUAUAGUGCCAUAUUUCAGCCAUUCUUUUAGGGUAACAACAGCCAAACAAGUAUUCAGAUUCAAAUAUUCUGCACCCUUUUAAUUAUUAAAUGAACUUAAGCUAAGUGAAGUAUUUAAUACACUAUUAGAAUAAUGUAACCAAGUUGAUCCUAACACAAAAUGAGUGAAAGGGAAAAACAAUGUAUCCAUAAGCCUAACCAUAUCGAGGGUCAACCAUAUAGAUAAACAAUGAUUUCCGAACCAUGAUUCAUUCCAUGGCUCUCAUUUCACUAAAGGAGAAGAGGGGAGAGGGGAAAUAAUAUGAACAUUUACUAAAAAAAAUCCAGAUUAUUAUGCAUCAUAAAGGGAUAAAUUUGACCACUGGGAAGGUCAGAUUCACUUCCCUAUUGUGCUGCCAUAUGAGGGAAGCUUUGGACAUUGGUUUCAAAAGUGCAUACACAUACCCAUUUAGUAACCCCAAGGUAUGAAUUUUGACAUAUAAAUAUAGCACAACCCUACAGAUUUCAUGUAUCAAGCAAUCAUUUAAUACUAGAACAUAGUCCCAUUAACUCUAAAUCCAAACAAUCAUGAUUCAUAAACCGAAUACUAGAGAUCAACUAAACAAAUAUGUUCCAAAUGCAGAUUUUAAAUGCAAAAUUUAUUUAAUACUAGAGAUCAACUAAACAAAUACGUUCCUAAUGCAGAUUUUAAAUGCAAAAUUGAUUUAAUUAUAGAUGGACAUUGUACAUACCUGGAAACUAAAAAUAUGACUGGAAAAUAACCAAAUAAAGUUCAGGAAAAACCAAAAGAGAGCUAGAGAUCUUAAACUUCAGCAUUAAACUAAACAAGACUGCAACAGCAAAACCAAAAAAGGAACCAGAGGCUCAAAUUCAAGAGACUGGGAACCAACUUGAAAUCCCACAGAUCCAGCUAAAAGGAGUAAGAGUAUUUCAGCUUCAAACCAUGUUUCAAACUUUUAAAAGAAGAGGAGAUUUCUGAUAUUUCUUUGAAUGUGAAGUUUUCAAAGAAGAAAAUGCAACUUUUCUAGAGAGAAUUACCGAUAAAAAGUGC